This 781-nucleotide ribosomal RNA is filed under the name uncultured delta proteobacterium. RNAcentral describes it as "bacterial SSU rRNA". It matches the Rfam family "Bacterial small subunit ribosomal RNA", at positions 83 to 840 of the family's 1533-position model. Lineage: Bacteria; Deltaproteobacteria. The record is from RNAcentral.
UGGAUGAGUAAAGUGGCGAACGGGUGAGUAACGCGUGGGUAAUCUACCCUAAAGUCGGGGAUAACNNNNNNAAAGGGGUGCUAAUACCGGAUAACAUCCCUGANACUCCGGUCUCGGGGAUCAAAGAUGGCCUCUGCUGGCAAGCUGUCGCUUUAGGAUGAGCCCGCGUACCAUUAGCUUGUUGGUAGGGUAAUGGCCUACCAAGGCUACGAUGGUUAGCUGGUCUGAGAGGAUGGCCAGCCACACUGGAACUGAGACACGGUCCAGACUCCUACGGGAGGCAGCAGUGAGGAAUCUUGCGCAAUGGGGGCAACCCUGACGCAGCGACGCCGCGUGAGCGAAGAAGGCCUUCGGGUCGUAAAGCUCUGUCAGAUGGGAAGAAAAUUCUGCCUGCGAAUAACAGGCAGAAUUGCUGGUACCGUCAAAGGAAGCACCGGCUAACUCCGUGCCAGCAGCCGCGGUAAUACGGAGGGUGCAAGCGUUGUUCGGAAUUACUGGGCGUAAAGCGCGUGUAGGCGGUCUAGCAAGUCAGAUGUGAAUCCCUUGGCUCAACCAAGGAAGGGCAUUUGAAACUGCUAGUCUUGAGUACGGGAGGGGGAAGCGGAAUUCCCGGUGUAGAGGUGAAAUUCGUAGAUAUCGGGAGGAACACCGGUGGCGAAGGCGGCUUCCUGGACCGAUACUGACGCUGAGACGCGAAAGCGUGGGGAGCAAACAGGAUUAGAUACCCUGGUAGUCCACGCUGUAGACGGUGGGCACUAGGUGUUGUGGGUAUUGACCCCCG